CUACCUGCUUGACAGCAGAAACAGCAUGAUCACAAAGUUGGUUUCCCCAAGGCAAAUCUUACCCAUUGCACUGCAGUUAUGCGGACUUCUAUGAUUUUCCCAAGUGUGGGAAACUUGACUGUAGAAUUUGUUCUUAU
Molecule: small nuclear RNA, 137 nt
Filed under: Catagonus wagneri (Chacoan peccary)
Lineage: Eukaryota; Metazoa; Chordata; Mammalia; Artiodactyla; Tayassuidae
Description: U1 spliceosomal RNA (ENSCWAG00000000057.1)
Rfam family: U1 spliceosomal RNA
About the family: U1 is a small nuclear RNA (snRNA) component of the spliceosome (involved in pre-mRNA splicing).
Source: RNAcentral